Molecule: long non-coding RNA, 376 nt
Organism: Cryptomeria japonica (Japanese cedar)
Lineage: Eukaryota; Viridiplantae; Streptophyta; Pinopsida; Cupressales; Cupressaceae
Exons: 3
Source: RefSeq, a predicted model, not a curated record
UGGACUUCUACUUCUUUGCAGGUUCGUCUCCUUUAGAUGCAGUUUAACAGUUCAUUGACUCCGUAGGCCACAGCUGCAAUGUCCUAUUGAGCUUCUGAUUUGUCUCCAUUAAAUGCUGUUCAACAGUUCACUGGCCUCGUAGGACACACAGCUGCAACGCCCUAUUGGGCUUCUGGUGGGUUGAAGGCCACUCUCUCAAAUGGUUGUCUAACAGUUUAAUAAAAAGGAGAUCGCAAAGAGAGUUAAACAGCUUUUUGAAGUAGUUAAUUUUGACAAUUAUGGUGGGAGAAAGCCUAAGGUGACAUUUUUGGUUUGUAUUCAAAGGAGCAAGUGAUGGACCAUUUCUUUAAUAAUAUUUUGGUCAAGCGCAUUUAUC